UUUUUUUUUUUUUGCUUUUUAUGGCUGCACCUGCGGCAUAUGGAGGUUCCCAGGCUAGGGGUUGAAUGGGAGCUACAGCUGCUGGCCUCCACCACAGCCACGGCAACGCCAGAUCCGAGCUGCAUCUUUGACCUGCACCACAGCUCAUGGCAACGCCAGAUCCUUAACCCACUGAGUGAGGCCAGGGAUCGAACCCGCAACCUCAUGGUUCCUAGUCGGGUUCGUUUCCACUGCACCAUGACGGGAACGCCUACCUUUGCUUUUUAAUUGCAGAAACCAUCUGGUUCCAAAGUCUAAAGCACAGAAUCAGGUGCGUUCAGAGAGGUUUUGCUCCCACUCCCGUCUGUGCCCUGCUCUGCCCAGAAGGGCAAUUUCACUUAGUUCUGGGUUUAUUCUUCCACAGCUUCUUUCUAAACGUCUAAGCCAAGCGGUGAGCCGCGUUUACCCUCUGCAACUUCCCUUUUCACUGAGUAUCCCCAGAAAUCCCACGUUUCCCUGGAUGCCUGAUUCUCCCAGGGAACCCCAGAGCUCGCGGCUCCUUUUCACAGCUGCACCACACCCCACUGCACCGAGGGGCUUGCAUCAGUUCCCACGUUCUGCAAUUAUGGGACUGCGCAGUGAGGAGAUUUGCGGCGUGCACGUUUCUAAAGUUUUUGAUAAGCCUCUUGCCAAAGACUUUGCUGGAACUGGGCCCGAUGUUUCCUCUUCCAGGAAUGGGUGAGAAUAAGUGAUAGACAGGCUUUUCACGUGGAGACGCGGGGUCUGGGAGGUUGCUGAGGCAGAAGCGAGGGAGCUGAGCCCUGCGUGGCGAGGUUGGAGGCUCAGUGGUUCCCCGGAGGCUUGUCUGCAGGGUCAUGUGGCCUGGGAGGGAGCGGCUGGGUAGGGACGCUGGGGACGCCAGUCCACAGAUGGAGGAGGACAUGGAUGUGACCAGGAGGGGCUCACCCAGGCAGCGUGUGCAUCAGAGGCAAACUGUGAAGGGAGCUCAGGCCCCGAGCAGAGAGCUAGAUGGACAGAAAGUUACCUCCAGACAGGCCCAAAGCAACGAGACAGCCAGACACAGACUCACAGACGGCUCCAAAUUCAGACAGAGGUGCAGACAAGCAGAUCCAGACAGCUGGACCAACAGGGCCCGGUCAGGAAGACGCAGCCCAGGCCACACAGACAGAGCCAGAGCUCCCAGGGACCCCAGGAUUUCUGGGCACCCUGCCGGGCAGCCCCGGCCUUCCUCAGCCCCCGGGGUGGCUGAGGCCAGCUGGCCCGCCAGCCCUGCCGAGGGUGCAGGCCGACCGGGGCCGGAUCCAGGGAGCUGGCUGUGCAGAGGAGGCGGCCAGCAGGGGAUGCUGGGCAGGGGCCAGGCCUGCUGUCCAGAUGCAUUUCACGCUCUUCGCGGAGGUGAGGCAAAGCAGAGCAGGCAGCUGCUGACGGAGUGCCGGGCCCGACGCCCCACACCCUUCCCUCCUGGGGCCUCACGGGGACACCCCGGCUUGUCUCAGCCUGGCCCUGGAGUGGCCAGAAAGCAGGCAGUGGGAUGGACCUCUGGCAGCGCCCCUGGUCUUCACAGCGUCCGUGGGAGGGCAGAGCAGGCACGGGGACCCCAAAUUUGCAGAUGAUGAGACCAAGGUUCAGAGAAGGCCAGGUCACUCUGGUGAUCCAGCUACAGCGUCAGGGCCACUGGUCCACGUGUAUCAUUCCUGCUAAUGGGCCUGUCGCAGUCAAAAGCCGUGUGUGGGCCACUGCCUGUCCCGGGGAGUCCUGGGCCUCCUGGGCAGCCCCUCCCAUCCUGUCCUGGCCCCCCCGACCCCCUCUCUGAGACCCCACGCUAACCACAGAGUGUCUCCCCCACUUCGGGAGACGAGCCACCUGAGGCCAGGAGAGGCCACGUGCACCAGUGGUUUUGGGGUCCGUACCAGGCCAGAUCUGCUGUGACCAUCCUGUUCCAGGGCGAGAUGUGCCCCCACGUCCCCCGCCCCCGGCGGAGCCCCAGGUCUCAUUGUGUGAAGCCGCACAGCCUGCGGCAUCUUUCUGAGGACACGGCAACAGGAUGACAGGUUUUGGGGGGUUGCCGCCCUGGCCCCAAGCUACUGGUCUGGAGUAGCUGGUUUGCACUGGUUUGUGCCCCCUGCUGCUGCCCCUCUGGCCACAGCUUACUGAGGUCGGGAGGGAGGGCCCCCCAGCUGGGCCAGCGCUCUUCUCUUCUCCCAGGAAGUGCAGGUGGGACGUGGACACUGGCCGGUCCCUGCUCUCCCUUGACCUUGGGUGGAGCCGUGGGAGCACAGGCUGCAGCCAGGGUGGCACGUGUGUGGCGCCAGACGGGCCGGUCCAGGGGGACGAGAGGAAGGACACAGGGGCCCAGGGAAAGCCAGGCCGCGGUCCAAGUUUACAGCAUCGCAACUCCCUCCCUGAGAUCCACAGAGUGACUCCUGUGAGCAUGUCACCUGCAGUGUGUGUCUGCCGUUUGCACCCCAAAACAUCAUCGCCGUCUUACUCAUCAGUGAAAGAAAUCACGAAGCCUGGGCAAGGCCAAGGAAGACAUGCAGAAAUUAAACUCGAUGCCCCCCCGCCCCGACACAUCCCAUUAGACCCCUGAGAGCCAGCCAGGCUCUGUCUCCCGUUAGCUGUGAAAAUGGGCCUUCAAACGCCUCUGUUUCUCUCUGCCUCCGUUUCCUCCUCUGGAAAAUGGGAGGAGGCGGAGUUCCCCACCAGACAGCAGGUGUGCUGUGCUUCCAUGGCUGUUGUUAAUAUUUGUUUCCCUCUCUGGGUCUAGAUCCUUCGCAGAGUCCCAGAGCCCCCUCCCCGCUCUGAGAUGCAGAUGGCCCCUGGCUCUGCCUGGCUCGGGGUGGCGGGGGGGACCCCAGCGGCAGGCAGCCUGGCGGCGUGAUGGGAAGGGUGCAGGCACAGGCCAGGCGCCCAGGGCUGUCAGCAGCCCUCUGCUUGCGCCCCAGCCUGACACCAGUCCACGGUUAAUUCCGAACUGCCCCUGAGAGUGCCAUGUAUCUGUCGCUCACCACCGCCCUCCAGCCACCCCUCUGCUCUCACUGUGCCCUUCCCUCUGCCUCUCCAGAGGUUACCCGGCCAUCAGUGCCCAGAACAGAGCUUCCCCUCCAAGAAGCCCUCCUGGACGUAGUGAAGCACCCCGCAGAACCCUGAAGUGCCAGCGCUGGGGGUGCGGUGCGUGGGAGAGGCUGAAGCAGUCAGAGGCGGGGGGCGGGGGGGAUUCAAGACCUCAGGAACAGCAAGGACAGCAGCCAGAGGCCCCUUGCAAGUCCCAUCCCUUGCUGCCCUCGCCAACCUGUCACUCUUCAGACCCUUCCGUGCCUGGGGACCCUGCCCAGCUGGACACCACGGUGACAAACUCAAGGGGCCCUUGUCCUGCCUGUGAGGACGGGCAGGUGCGUGGGGGGGGUCCUGCCAUACACUUGCUGGUAACCCUGGGUCAUGGCCGCUUUCUGGGCCUCAGUUUCCCUCUCUGUGACAUGGGUAUGCUAGGAUUUAGAAAACCAAUUCCUGCCAGCUCUGGGCUUGAAGGGUCUAAAUUUGUUUCUUUCACCAGCCUUGCCUGUGACGGGUCCAGACAACUGAGAUGCAUGACAAAGCUUCAGAAUCACGAAUGUCAAAAAGUGCCGGCUACUGGUCCGAGCAACACAUCAGAUGGCGUCCCCACGGGGACAGAGCGGGGAAGGGCUGCGAACACGCUGAUGCCCGCUCUCCUGGGAGUUUGGAGGGAGAUCGGGCUGACCCACGUCCCCUGGAGAACAAUGUCAGGCAGUGGGGCUCAGGGGGCGGCACUGCAUGGGAGGAACCACAGGGGGCUUCCUGGAGGAGAGGGCUCUGAGCCGUCCUGGAAGGAGGGCCAACUGACAGGCUGGGCUGGGAGCGGACAGGGAGGGCUGUGGGGAGAAGAGGCGGGAGGCAGAGAGGUGCCGGCAGGCACAGGGACAGCCUGGGGGAAGCUCCCUUCUCCAGCUCCCCGAAGCCUCCGCUGCCCCAUUGCCAGCCAAGACAAUCUGGCCAUGGAAGACUGCGCUGAAUUGUUAAUCUGCCCCCUGGGACCAUAAAAGGGUUUAAAGCUUUAUAAACAGCUUUGCUUCCCUGUCCCCACCCCUGACUCUUCCAGAGACAGGCUGUGGGAUGGGGCCCCUCUGGGCGCCCCGCCCAGGGUCUGUGGGGGAUGGGCUGGGCAGGCAUCAGCCCCUUCUGAUAGCCCCACGUCUGCGGGGCAGCUACUGCUUUACUAGUUGCAGUUGUCUCCUGCGGCGUGAGGACCAAGCGUGUGUGUCGGGGGGGGGGGGCAGGAAGCACCUGGCAGCAGAGCCAGGCGCCGGCCCACCUGCCUCCCCCCACCAGCCCCUCCCCUGGCAGAAGACCCCCACGUGGCUGCCAUCUGGACCACGUGUCAGGCUCUUCGUUUCAGUCUCUCCCAUUUUUCUCUUUCCUCUUGCUCCAUCUCCCCUGCUCCGGCCUUGAAGACCCAGGACUGAGCCUCUGUGGUCUCCUGGGUUCAUCUUGUCCCCCCCCACCGCCCCGUCCAGUCCGCGCGGGGUGCAGGGCGCACAGCGGUGCUGAAUGAAGGCUUCUGUCCGCUGCCUUCACCUGAGAUGCCCAGUGCUCCGCUCAGGAGCCAAGGAGAAGCCCAGCCCUGCACCCUCCACACUGGCUGGGCCUCCGGCUCAACCAGUCCAGCCAUUUCUAAACCCACCGGGCAUUGGAAAACGUGCAGAGGCCCAGGCCUCAGUGGGUCUGAGCGGGGCCCCUGGAAUCGGCUUGCUUCACACGCAGCCCUUCCAACCGAGUGGCGAUGGGGAAUCGGAGGCUGGGUGCAGCAGGCAGGGCUGGGCCUGCCCUCCCGCCAGGCCGUUCCCCACCCUGGUGUCGGGCGCGGAUGGAGCGCCAGUGCACUCUGCUUCCACAAACAUCUGUCUGGUUACCCGAGCACGGCUGCUACCUGAGAGCCCCAGGGCCCCCGCAGCUUCGAGCGGGAGCGGCGGAGGCCCCGUCUGGGCCUCCUUCACAUUUGGUCCUAAUUUCACGCUCCGCGGGCUCCCAGAUUCCUGCGUUUGGUAAUAUAACUAGAUAAAUUCCAGUGUGGCGGCUGGUCUUAUCCAGAGCCUGGUCUGAUACUAUCCAGAGCCCGGCUGGGGUGGGGGCAGGGGCGGUGGUGGUGCCGGUGUGGGGGCCUGGGGCCCGGAGAGGCAGCCCCCAAUAGCACCUGGAGGGACCCCCGCACCCCCACCCUGUUCUAAGCUCCACCCUCGGUCCAGGUCAGCCCGGUCCUGGGAGCGCCCAGGCCGACCAGGUGUCAGGGACUGAGUGGGUGGGGCCCAUGCCCACUUUGGGCUCCAAGGCCGGCGGCUGCCUGCAGCAGGGGGUUGGUGCUGCCAGGUGGGCUGGGGCUGGGCUGCUGGUGCUCGGGAAACGCUGGCCGGUUUUGCGACCCGGAUCCCCUGAGGGACCCCUAGAAAGAGCACAGCGGCUGUGUCUCUGGGGUUCUCAGACUUCCAGAAGCUCUCCCCAGAGCUCUGCUGAGGAGCCCUUUGGGGUCAGCCAGGUGACAGCAGGUCCUGCCCGGGGCCCACUGCUUGGCACCCGCUGUCCAGCCCAGAGCAGGGUGCACAGCAGGGACUCGGCGCCAGCUGUGAAGGAGUGACCUGAGGGGGUCCUUGAGCUCCUGAAGAAUGUACUGGAAUUUCUUCUGUGGAGCCCAGCAGAUCUGGGGGUGCCACGGGGAGUGGCGGGUCCCUCCUUUCUCUGGGCCUCUCUUCAGCAGCGUCAGGGUUGAUGACACCAAGAGGACGACAGCGCCCGACGCCUCGAUCUCAAUUCCCCCCUCCGGGUCCCCCUGGCGUGGACACACCACGCUCCCAGGCCGUGUGGGAAGCAGCGCCCAGAAGCAUUGCAAGGUCACCCACUCAUGGUUCCCAGGGGUGAAUGGGCUGGAGGAGUGAGUCAACCCACCGAACGUGCGGAAAACCCGGUAGGACGGACGUCAGGUCUUGGUGGCCCGGCUCAGCCUGCUCUGGGUGCAGCCGGAGCUGAGAAAGGGAGAGGACCCGGGACCUGGACUGCGGCCAGGAGGCUGGAGGGAGUGGGGCUUUGCCCCACUGGGCUGGUUGGGCACUCAGCUUCCCUGCUCCCUGGGGAAAGAGGGAGGGUGGCCUUUCUGUCCCCUCCUGUCCCCAGCCUGGCCUCCAUCGGGGAGCUGUGCUGUGGCUGCCUGGGAUCUCCCUGGUCCUUGGGGAAGCAGGCAGCGCCCGGGAGGCCCCGGGUCAUCCCAGGGGAGGCCUGGCCCGGGGAGCCCCUUCUGAGGUGGGCCCUUGGAACCCGCUCCAAAGUGUGUCCCCCCCUGGAGCCCCCGCCUCUGCUUACUGCCCAUUUGCCCAGAGGAGUGAAACUCGGCUGCUCUGGGGUGUGUGGUCACACAAGGCUGUGUCCCUGGCUCCACGGGGCCGGGUGGGUGGUACGGGAGGCUGUGGCCCCAGAGAUGGAGUCUUGCUCAGGGUCACCCCAAUAUCUGCCUCAGAGUGAGGGCUGGGCACAGGCCAGAGACCCUGAACCGCCUCCCUGGGCCCCAUGGUGGUGGUGGGAGGAGGGCGA
Molecule: long non-coding RNA, 6594 nt
Filed under: Sus scrofa (pig)
Lineage: Eukaryota; Metazoa; Chordata; Mammalia; Artiodactyla; Suidae
Description: lncRNA (ENSSSCG00065004128.1)
Source: RNAcentral